Long non-coding RNA from Myotis daubentonii (Daubenton's bat), 1286 nucleotides. RefSeq lists it as uncharacterized. NCBI's taxonomy places the organism in Eukaryota, Metazoa, Chordata, Mammalia, Chiroptera, Vespertilionidae. The record is from RefSeq and is a predicted model, not a curated record.
CUAAAAUAGAAAAAAAAUGAAUUCAAUUUAAACCCUAUUCUCACCAGAAGACAUUCUUUAAUCCUUUACAUGCAAAUGGAACAUCCAGUCAGGAUAUUGAGAUAUCCCAAUCUUUGACUCACUUAUAGUCCAUCCAGUGUCUUCCACUGUACCAAUGACUGUCAGCGUCCCACCCAUAUCCUCUCAGCUUUCACAUUUCUAAGCUCCAGUGGUCCUUUCCCUGAGGGUUUUCUCUGGUCCUGGGAGUUCACCUAAUCAUUCAUGGGGCAGACCAGAAAUGCUUAGGAGGUAACAUUUUCUGGCAGCCACCCUCAACCAGCCACUGAGGGAAGCUCUUGGUGGGAAAAUAACCCAGCUGCCUCACCCCUCAAUGGGGACAAUGCUGAAGUGUAUUCUACUGUUCGUCAGAGUUCCCCAGAGGGACUGGUUCCUACUUCUCCAUAUUGGUAACCUGAGAUCACCUGCUGAAUCAACUCUGAUGCCAUAUCCUUGUCUCAGUCUGUUUUGGGAGAACUCAACCUAAGAUAUCCAUCAAAGGCCCAGUUUCACCCUUUCUAUCACCUUUCUCCCCUACAACUUCUGCCUCAAUCACCUAGGGAGCAACAAGUCUCAGAAAAACUUCAGUCUAAGGUGGAAAUGGGAGCAUUCCCUGCCUCCCCUCUUCUGGAUUGUCCUCACUACAGCUCACCUGUAACCUCAUUCCCACCUCCAGUCCCUCCCUCACCCUGACCUCCCCCCUUAAGCCACCAUGCCUCCUGAAAAUAACACCUAUUGCUAAUUCUUGUUCUAAAACAUGGAGCUGCCUUGAUAAAACAGCAGAUGGAAAAGAUAGGUACAGAUCAACUUCCUGCAUACACCCUUUCUCAGUUCACCGAGACCAGAAUUUCCAAGGAACAUCCGGAAAUCCAGACAUUUCCUUUGAUUGUCACAGCUGUGAUACAAAUGAGGUCAUCAAGGCACAGAGAGUUGUAUCAAUCUACCAGGAUCAUUUGGAAGAUUGAACAGUUUGACUCCAUGUGUGAAGAAGAAGGUGGAUAGAACAGAUGCCUUGCAUCUGAUGAGAUGCUUGGGAAGACUUUGGUGGGCUGGAUACUUUUCUUUUCUCAGUACAAAUUUCAAAAUAUAUAUAGGAAAGUAUUUAAAAUAUGUAUGACUUUUAGAGAAUAAUAAUAAAGUGAACAUACAUAUUACCAUUACUCAAAAUUAGAAUAAAGACUAUUGUCAUAAUCUACCAGCUUCAUGGCUGUCUUUGAAUGCAUUCCCCCUUACUCACCUUUAAGGAUAAC